UGAAGAAGGCCUUCGGGUUGUAAAGCACUUUCAGUUGUGAGGAAAAGUUAGUAGUUAAUACCUGCUAGCCGUGACGUUAACAACAGAAGAAGCACCGGCUAACUCCGUGCCAGCAGCCGCGGUAAUACGGAGGGUGCGAGCGUUAAUCGGAAUUACUGGGCGUAAAGCGCACGCAGGCGGUUUGUUAAGCUAGAUGUGAAAGCCCCGGGCUCAACCUGGGAUGGUCAUUUAGAACUGGCAGACUAGAGUCUUGGAGAGGGGAGUGGAAUUCCAGGUGUAGCGGUGAAAUGCGUAGAUAUCUGGAGGAACAUCAGUGGCGAAGGCGACUCCCUGGCCAAAGACUGACGCUCAUGUGCGAAAGUGUGGGUAGCGAACAGGAUUAGAUACCCUGGUAGUCCACACCGUAAACGCUGUCUACUAGCUGUGUGUGCCUUUAAGGCGUGCGUAGCGAAGCUAACGCGCUAAGUAGACCGCCUGGGGAGUACGGCCGCAAGGUG
This 497-nucleotide ribosomal RNA is filed under the name Alteromonas macleodii. RNAcentral's name for it is "bacterial SSU rRNA". It matches the Rfam family "Bacterial small subunit ribosomal RNA", at positions 406 to 895 of the family's 1533-position model. The record is from RNAcentral. Lineage: Bacteria; Pseudomonadati; Pseudomonadota; Gammaproteobacteria; Alteromonadales; Alteromonadaceae.